RNAcentral lists this ribosomal RNA (253 nucleotides) under uncultured bacterium. Its description in RNAcentral is "partial 16S ribosomal RNA". It matches the Rfam family "Bacterial small subunit ribosomal RNA", at positions 524 to 776 of the family's 1533-position model. The record is from RNAcentral.
UACGUAGGUGGCAAGCGUUGUCCGGAUUUACUGGGCGUAAAGAGCGCGCAGGCGGUCAGAUAAGUCGAAUGUGAAAGCCCCCGGCUCAACUGGGGAGGGUCAUUCGAUACUGUUCGACUCGAAGGCAGGAGAGGGAAGCGGAAUUCCCGGUGUAGUGGUGAAAUGCGUAGAUAUCGGGAGGAACACCAGUGGCGAAGGCGGCUUCCUGGCCUGUUCUUGACGCUGAGGCGCGAAAGCUAGGGGAGCGAACAGG